AUCAAGCGUGUCCUGGAGAUUCUCCCAUCGAGGAAAGACAGAGAAGGGAAAGUUUAUUAAAACAACUCUGAGGGGAGGGGAGAAAGGAAUUGGAGAACGAGAACUCUCAGGCAAAAACUUUAUCCAAGCUAGAGAGGACUCUUGGAAGCUCUUUUAGCAAACUGGAUUACAAUAAAAUCAGUUUUCUGUGGAUUAAUGUUGCCAUAAUUCAUUGGAUGAACAAUCACAGAAGGAGCUGAAGGAGGGAGUCAUGAGGGUCAUCUGCUCCUCUCUAGUGCUUCUCACCAUCUGCUUGGGUCACGGGGGUCGACUGGCAUCAGCUGAAGGUGUCAGCUGCCCGUCCGUACAGGUAGAAGAAUGGAAGUUUCCUCAAACUGCCAGACACAACAUUACAGGUUAAUACUGCUGCUAAUGGACAUCCCUUAAAGAAACAGCAUCAUUUACUCAC
This is a long non-coding RNA of Carassius auratus (goldfish), 448 nucleotides long. RefSeq lists it as uncharacterized. The record is from RefSeq and is a predicted model, not a curated record. Lineage: Eukaryota; Metazoa; Chordata; Actinopteri; Cypriniformes; Cyprinidae. The transcript is spliced from 3 exons.